UUUCUUUGCUGGCGACCGGCGCACGGGUGAGUAGCACGUAUCCAACCUGCCCUUUACUCGGGGAUAGCCUUUCGAAAGAAAGAUUAAUACCCGAUAGUAUAAUGAUUCCGCAUGGUUUCAUUAUUAAAGGAUUCCGGUAAAGGAUGGGGAUGCGUCCCAUUAGGUUGUUGGUGAGGUAACGGCUCACCAAGCCUUCGAUGGAUAGGGGUUCUGAGAGGAAGGUCCCCCACAUUGGAACUGAGACACGGUCCAA
This 253-nucleotide ribosomal RNA is filed under the name uncultured bacterium. Its description in RNAcentral is "partial 16S ribosomal RNA". It matches the Rfam family "Bacterial small subunit ribosomal RNA", at positions 80 to 334 of the family's 1533-position model. The record is from RNAcentral.